Molecule: ribosomal RNA, 772 nt
Filed under: uncultured Neocallimastigales
Lineage: Eukaryota; Fungi; Neocallimastigomycota; Neocallimastigomycetes; Neocallimastigales
Description: partial large subunit ribosomal RNA
Rfam family: Eukaryotic large subunit ribosomal RNA
Source: RNAcentral
GUAGUCUCGCACAGAUGCAUAUCAAUAAGCGGAGGAAAAGAAACUAACAAGGAUUCCCCUAGUAACGGCGAGUGAAGCGGGAAGAGCUCAAAUUUGAAAUCUUAAAGGGUUUCCCUUUACGAAUUGUAGUUUAAAGAAGUGUUUUCUGUUGAGGUUUUGGUAAAAGUUCUUUGGAAUAGGACAUCAUAGAGGGUGAGAAUCCCGUAUUUGACCUUUACUUUCAACUUUGUGAUACACUUUCAAAGAGUCGGAUUGUUUGGGAAUGCAGUCCAAAAUGGGUGGUAAAUUUCAUCUAAAGCUAAAUAUUGGCGAGAGACCGAUAGCGAACAAGUACCGUGAGGGAAAGAUGGAAAGAACUUUGAAAAGAGAGUUAAACAGUACGUGAAAUUGUCAAAAGGGAAGCGUUUGACACCAGUGUUGUUUUUCUGAAAAUCACUAAAGAACUGUUUAUGCUAAGCUGUUUAGACUUUAUCAGCUAUCUGUUUAGUUUUGAGCUUUUCUUUAAUGCACUUUUCAGUUAACAAGUCAACAUCAAUUUCUUUUGCUGUAAAAAGCUUGAGGAAGGUGGCUUGAGAUUCGUCUUAAGUGUUUAUAGCCUCUUGCCUAUGCAGUCGGAGAGAUUGAGGUCUGCAGCGUAGAUCCUUCGGGACUAAAUGCAUUUGUGCUAAGUUAUAGCAUUUUAUAGACAACUUGUUGACUAUGAUUUGUCUUGUAGCUUACUCGCUUAUGUUAUUUUACCUACGCUUAGGAUGUUGAUCUGUAGUGCGUGCGC